This 1485-nucleotide long non-coding RNA is filed under the name Ornithorhynchus anatinus (platypus). RNAcentral's name for it is "lncRNA (ENSOANG00000047846.1)". Lineage: Eukaryota; Metazoa; Chordata; Mammalia; Monotremata; Ornithorhynchidae. The record is from RNAcentral.
CUUUCCCAUCUGUCUCGUUCCCUUCUAACCGCAGUUAUAUAGAGCACCUGGGCCUUGGGCCCUGUGUUAUUUAACCUCUAUCCCAGAAGGAUGGUGUGCUGUGUCCCCAUGAAAGUAGGGAGGGCAUUACCCACUGUGAAACUGACCGUUGCAAGUAAUGAAGGCAGCAAGGCUCCCCAGCCAUUGAAUCUACACCUUUGCAAAAGAAAAGCUGUGUAUGGGAGAAAUUUUCCUGGCUGUGGGAGGUUGCAGUUUUAUUCCAAUCCUGGAAGAAGAUACUGUCCUUCAUUAGUUACUGGUAUAGAUGUAAUUGGGGAUACAAAUUCCAAUACAGACAUUUUGAAUUCAGUCCCUUUUAUUCAAAACCUAGUACUGGACAUACUCAAAAAAAGUGACAUAGCCCCAGUGAUCACUCAUAUUUCAACAGAAUGAAGUCAUAAUAUUACUACAAGCUCUUUAUGACUGCAACAAAUUAAUAGUUAUGCUUCCAUCUAUGCAUCCAUAUAUGAUAACAUUCUGGUCCCUAUGUAGACAAAUAGUUGGAGAGACAUGAAAAAUCUCCCCUGUUCCUCUUCAGUUCUUCCCUUCUGCCCUUUCUUCAAUUCUUCAAUCUUUUCCAGAAGUAUCCCAAGAGGAGAUUUCCUGUCUUCUCUCAAAAUCCACCACCUCCACCUGCACUUCCAACACUACCACGGCUUCACUGAAACUGUCCUCACAUAAUUGUCUUCCUAUUUCUCUGGCCGUUCAUUCUCAGUCUCAUUCACGAGCUCCUCCACUGCCUCCCUCCCUCUAACUGUGGGUGUCCCUCAAGGUUCAGUUCUGGGUCCCCUUCCACUCUCCAUCUACACUCACUCUCUUGGAGAACUCAUUCACUCCCAUGUCUUCAUGGCUUUACCACCUCUAUGCAGAUGAUUCCCAAAUCUACAUAAUAAUGAUGCUAUUUGUUAAGCGCUCACUAUAUGCCAAACACUGUUCUAAGCACUGAGGUAGAUUCAAGAUAAUUAGGUUGUCCCAUUUGGGGCUCACAGUCAUAAUCCCCAUUUUACAGAUGGGGUAACAGAGGCACAGAGAAGUGAAGCGACUUGCCCAAAGUCACACAGCUGACAAGUGCCAGAGUAGGCAUUAGACCCCACGGCCCCUGACUCCCAAGCCUGUGCUCUUUCCACUAAGCCAUGCUGCUUCUCAUAAUAAUGAGGGUAUUUGUUAAGCGCUUACUAUGUGCCAAGCACUGUUCUCAGCACUGGGGCAGAUACAAAGUGAUCAGGUUGUCCCAGGUGGGGCUCACAGUCUCAAUUCCCAUCUUACAGAUGAGGUAACUGAGACACAGAGAAGUUAGCUGACUUGCCCAAGGUCACACAGCAGACAAGUGGCGGAGGAGGGAUUAGAAACAGUGACCUCUGACUCCCAAGCCCGUGCUCUUGCCACUAGGCCAUGCUGUACAUCUCCAACCUUUCUCACUCUCUGCAGUCUCACAUUCCUCCUGCC